This 527-nucleotide long non-coding RNA is filed under the name Gallus gallus (chicken). Lineage: Eukaryota; Metazoa; Chordata; Aves; Galliformes; Phasianidae. The record is from RNAcentral.
UGCAUGUUAUGAUGCCAUUUCCAGCAGAGUUUAUGGACCCACAACGAUCAGUGCUGGUUUCACAGUGAAUGUAUGCUCAGAUAUUUCAACUUACACAGUGGCUGAUAUUAUGGUAAAUCUGCAUGUCAGUGUUUAUUGAACAUGGGCAAUUUUUGUUAGUCUUGACAUAGGAAUGCCAUGAGAAACAUUGAAGAGGAAACGAUCACUGUUGCACAAUUCUAAAGGGAAGAAAAUAAUUGGCCAUAGAGGGUCUCCUUAAGGGAGACCUUAAGAACAUCUGGAAGAUCGCUGCAUUUCAUUCGCUGAUUAUGAGAUUCCUGCGCUGCUGACUGAGGUGGCCGUGCAGAUAUCCCCUGCAAACAGAAAAUGAGGCUGUCCCUGUGAAAUGACCUGCUGGAGAAAAGGCUCAUUAAUCAGAAACAGGUACAGAGCUACAGCACUGCCUAACGCUGAUCACGUAAACAGGGGCUGACAGUGCUGUCUGAGCCAUUAGGCAGAGCAGUUCGGUAGACACUGAUGUUUUGUCG